GUGGCCUAAUGGAUAAGGCAUUGGCCUUCUAAGCCAGAGGCUGUGGGUUCAAUUCCAUCC
Molecule: transfer RNA, 60 nt
Filed under: Chelonia mydas (Green sea turtle)
Lineage: Eukaryota; Metazoa; Chordata; Testudines; Cheloniidae
Rfam family: tRNA
About the family: Transfer RNA (tRNA) molecules are approximately 80 nucleotides in length.
Source: Rfam by way of RNAcentral